This 670-nucleotide ribosomal RNA is filed under the name uncultured bacterium. Its description in RNAcentral is "bacterial SSU rRNA". It matches the Rfam family "Bacterial small subunit ribosomal RNA", at positions 64 to 747 of the family's 1533-position model. The record is from RNAcentral.
UGGCGGAAGUUUUCGGAUGGAAGCUGGAUUGACUGAGUGGCGGACGGGUGAGUAACGCGUGGGUAACCUGCCUCACACUGGGGGACAACAGUUAGAAAUGACUGCUAAUACCGCAUAAGCGCACAGGACCGCAUGGUCUAGUGUGAAAAACUCCGGUGGUGUGAGAUGGACCCGCGUUUGAUUAGCUAGUUGGUGGGGUAACGGCCUACCAAGGCGACGAUCAAUAGCCGACCUGAGAGGGUGACCGGCCACAUUGGGACUGAGACACGGCCCAAACUCCUACGGGAGGCAGCAGUGGGGAAUAUUGCACAAUGGGGGAAACCCUGAUGCAGCGACGCCGCGUGAGUGAAGAAGUAUUUCGGUAUGUAAAGCUCUAUCAGCAGGGAAGAAAAUGACGGUACCUGACUAAGAAGCCCCGGCUAACUACGUGCCAGCAGCCGCGGUAAUACGUAGGGGGCAAGCGUUAUCCGGAUUUACUGGGUGUAAAGGGAGCGUAGACGGUAAAGCAAGUCUGAAGUGAAAGCCCGGGGCUCAACCCCGGGACUGCUUUGGAAACUGUUUAACUAGAGUGCUGGAGAGGUAAGCGGAAUUCCUAGUGUAGCGGUGAAAUGCGUAGAUAUUAGGAGGAACACCAGUGGCGAAGGCGGCUUACUGGACAGUAACUGACGUU